This 1053-nucleotide long non-coding RNA is filed under the name Capra hircus (goat). RNAcentral's name for it is "lncRNA (ENSCHIG00010002474.1)". Lineage: Eukaryota; Metazoa; Chordata; Mammalia; Artiodactyla; Bovidae. The record is from RNAcentral.
GAGUCAGAAUUAAGAGUGUUGUCCCCUAUUCAUUAUGGGCAUGUUUAGUCAGGUGUAUAUUUUGACAUUACACAGAAAAACUAAACAGUGUCCAGAUACUAUAUAUGUCCUGAUACUGUACCCUAGACCUGCCAGAAUAAAGACUUUGAAGUAAUUUUCAAAGGGUGUCUGUUAGUAUUUUAUAAUAUACCACAAAUCCAUUUUAUGUUAGCUGUGAGGCUGUCAGAAAUAUGUUUUGUUUUUUCUCUGAUAGAUUGCUUGUUUGAUUUAAGAAUCUUGGCCUCCAGCCUACUUUUCCAGUAUGCCAGUCCCAUUGUUGACUGAUUUUCUUAACAUGUCCUUUAUGAUAAGGUAAAAGUUCUUCCUAAUUUUCUGUUAAUAUUGACUUUCCCAUUUUAAAGAUACACAUAAUAUCUUUAUAUUUGUCAAAAACUGAAAUGUUCUGUCUUCCUUCCUUCACUUUUGUUAAUAUUGACUUCUUCACAUAUUUCAAAAUCAUAUGUGGUAGUGUUGUAGUUAGGUUUCAUUUGCUGAAACUGAUGGAGAUCAAAGAUAGAACUUUUCACUAGGAAAAAAAUUCUCGAGCCGUAAAAUAUGGCGCAUUAGGACUUGUAGUAGGGGCAUUUAUCAAGAGGAAAGGACAUGAACUGUAGUUUAAUGGAAAGCGUGGAAUGUGCUCAUUUGGUUAUUUAACCUCUCAUGGUAUUUCAUACCGUAGUAAAUUAUGACUCCUGUGGCCUGUUAUGUCUGUGCCUGAAAGAGCCUGUAAAGUCUGACCCAUGUUUCUGUGUAUGUUUUCAAGUAGCAACUAGCUGACUUUUAUGUCUGAAACCAGUUCAGUAGAAUCUCACAUAUGAGGAAAUCAUUACUGUAGUUUUCAUCUGUUUUAGACUUUGAUUUUCAAAUCAAGUGUAACCUAGAAAUCUUCCAGGAUUAGUAAAGUUAGAUGAAGUUUCAGAAUAAAAAUGUAGAUUUGUGAUAUAACGCACAAUGGACCUUUCAAAGGGUGCUGCUGCUAAGUCGCUUCAGUCAUGUCCGACUCUGUGCGACCCC